This 336-nucleotide unclassified non-coding RNA is filed under the name soil metagenome. Its description in RNAcentral is "partial contains 5.8S ribosomal RNA, internal transcribed spacer 2, and large subunit ribosomal RNA". The stretch from base 1 to 120 matches the Rfam family "5.8S ribosomal RNA", at positions 35 to 154 of the family's 154-position model. The record is from RNAcentral.
GAUGAAGAACGCAGCGAAAUGCGAUAAGUAAUGUGAAUUGCAGAAUUCAGUGAAUCAUCGAAUCUUUGAACGCACAUUGCGCCCGCCAGUAUUCUGGCGGGCAUGCCUGUUCGAGCGUCAUUUCAACCAUCAAGCACCCGGCUUGUGUUGGGGACCUGCGGCUGCCGCAGGCCCUGAAAAGCAGUGGCGGGCUCGCUGUCACACCGAGCGUAGUAGCAUACAUCUCGCUCUGGGCGUGCUGCGGGUUCCGGCCGUUAAACCACCUUCAUAACCCAAGGUUGACCUCGGAUCAGGUAGGAAGACCCGCUGAACUUAAGCAUAUCAAUAAGCGGAGGA